This 402-nucleotide ribosomal RNA is filed under the name Verrucomicrobiota bacterium. RNAcentral's name for it is "Verrucomicrobia bacterium partial 16S ribosomal RNA". It matches the Rfam family "Bacterial small subunit ribosomal RNA", at positions 355 to 776 of the family's 1533-position model. The record is from RNAcentral. Lineage: Bacteria; Pseudomonadati; Verrucomicrobiota.
UGGGGAAUUUUGCACAAUGGGGGAAACCCUGAUGCAGCGACGCCGCGUGAUUUAGAAGGCUUUCGGGUUGUAACAAUCUUUUGUAUGGGAAGAAAAUGACAGUACCAUACGAAUAAGGACCGGCUAAUUACGUGCCAGCAGCCGCGGUAAUACGUAAGGUCCGAGCGUUGUCCGGAAUCAUUGGGCGUAAAGGGUACGUAGGCGGAUAAGCAAGUUAGAAGUGAAAUCCUAUAGCUCAACUAUAGUAAGCUUUUAAAACUGCUCAUCUUGAGGUAUGGAAGGGAAAGUGGAAUUCCUAGUGUAGCGGUGAAAUGCGCAGAUAUUAGGAGGAAUACCGGUGGCGAAGGCGGCUUUCUGGCCAUAAACUGACGCUGAGGUACGAAAGAGUGGGUAGCAAACAGG